CAUAUUAGUAUUAUACUACAUACACUCAUUACCUAUUACAAUAUGAACGUUUUAAAUGUUUCGUUUUUGUUUUAGUCAUGGUCAUAGAUAAUAUAGAUUGGAUUGUCCAUCAGCCUUCCUGAGCGUUCUCAAAUGGUGACCCAUUGGGUAAUAUAUUUAGUAUAACAUAAACAAUUCAAUUUUUCAUUUAUUAAUUAAUUUUGAAAUUAUUUUAGGUUGAUAAUAAGAGUGUAUGGCGACUGAUCUGGCAUCCACCCAUUUCUUGAUGGCAGGUGACUUCACAAGGUUUGCAGAUUGGAGGUUCAUUCAUAAGGCACACUUGAAUCUGGUGCUGCUGAAUGGUGCCCAAGUAAACACCCUUUCUUAUACGCACUUGUUUCCAUAUCUGUGAAUAGUACCUUAUUAGUAAUGUUUUUUUUUUCACCUUUUUAUUUUUACUAUAUUUAUUAAUUUUGAUUUUGUUGUUUUUGUUUGUUACCAGAUUUGUGUAUUGUGAAUUUUAUGUUGACUUUUGUCUUGUAUUCAUGACUUUUUUAGCCCUAUUUACGACUUAAUUAUGCCCUUUACUGGAAUUUUUUUUUUAGAUUAUUAUUAUUACGUAUUCUGAUUUAUUCUCCUUUAUCAUACUUUUUUUUUUUUGUUUUGCUGAUUAAUUGCUAAAAUAUUUUUUUGUGAGCCUGUGGUCUUUAGUAAGCGUGUCUGUAUUUGUAAAAUACAGUAUUUAAUAUUAAAUUACUUGAUUUAUUAAUUUAGUAGAUCAUGGCACCUCUCUCUUUUAAAUCCAUGGUAGGAUUGCCUGAAAUUGGUUGAGAUAAAUUGUUUGUAAGGUUGUUUUGAUGGUCACUUAAGGAGGUUGCAGUCUUAAGUGUAGGAUUUUGUAGUAGAUUUUACAAUUAUUUUUAUUUGUUUGUCUGUGUAUGAAAACAAAAGUUAUAUGGUUAAAUUCAAUAACAAUAAAAAAAAAAAAAUCACCAAAACAAAAUGCAAAAUUAAUAUUAAGAAUUAUUAAAUAAAUUUUCCACUCUAUUCAGAAUUGAAAACAAAUCACUAUUAAUGUAAAUUAUUGUAUUUUUAGUGUAUAAUCUACAGGCUUCACUUCAAAAUGAUUUAAAUAUUAUAAAAAUUGAUGAAAUUAAAAAGAGAUAUAUGAAGAGAUCACAUUAUCAAACAACAGAAGAAAACAUUAAUCAGUUGAAAUUAAAAUUAUCAAUACAAACCAUGGACCAACUAUACUGCAGCCCAUGAAAGAAGAAACCUGUGCCUUGACCAAAACUUGUCCAAGUUUGCAUAGCCCCGCCACGUUAACGCUAGCGUAUUUUCCAUGUGAGUGUACACCAUGUUUAUAGUGCUUAUCGCGUUCCUAUACCUACCAUGUAAUUAUUUAACACUGCCUUUUUUAAUGAAAUUCAGUAAUAUUUCUUAAGUGUAAUAAAAUUGGAAAUUCAUAUUUAUUUAUUAUAAUUAUAUAUGUUCAUAUUAGUUAUUUGUAUAAAAAAUUUAAAUAAAUUAGAGUCGUUAAAAUAAAAUAAUUUUGAAAAUUUAUAUUCCAUUUUUGACAUACUAUUUCAUAGGACACAAGUAGCAGUGUGCUGCAGAAACUGUCAAAUAUAUGCGCAAACGAGUUCCUUCUCUCAUAGGCCACAGUAUAGACAUUCUUGAAUUAAAUCUGGAACUUAAACAGAUGUUUAUUUGAUGUAUGUUUUUUUUCUAUAUAUAUAUUUCAAAUAAAUAAUUUUUUUUUUUUAUAAAUAGGCUAAUUUCAUUCAUAGAA
RNAcentral lists this long non-coding RNA (1771 nucleotides) under Cinara cedri. The record is from RNAcentral. Lineage: Eukaryota; Metazoa; Arthropoda; Insecta; Hemiptera; Aphididae.